ACGAGCCUGUUUUGAACAAUCUCUUUCUCCUUCUCCUCUUAAUUUCCCCUUCGUUUUCUUCAAACUUUUACUCGUUUUUGCCUUCAAUAUUUUCUUUAUUUAGUCAUUUUCAUUAUCAUCUAUACAUACAUACAUUUAUAUAUAUAUAUAUAUAUAUAAACAUAUGCAUGUAGCCAAGUUUCUGUAUGUUGCUUUGAUAUAUAUGUUUUUGUCUCUUCUACUUCAACUUUUUAGUUACCUAUGUCUAUUUCUGCUAUAUUCGCCUUAUCCUCUGAAAAGAUGUGUGUAUAUAGAUAAAUCAAUAUGUACAUAGAAACAAUUAUAUAGUAUAUAUAUAUAUAUGCAUACCGAUGGUGGAAAGGGAGAGAAAAAUGGCGGACAUUCACACAAAUGUAUGGAGGAGGGAGUCUAUGAAGGCUGUGCACGUCUACACUCCGUGUGGGUGUGCCAAAUGUUUAACUCUGCAUGUUGAAAAUCCUCAAACUUACUGACAACAUAAAACAAGUUUAUUGCAUCAUUUUACUGCAUAGUUUCAACUGAGCCACAAUUCCUUACAAACUUUGUAGGAAAUGGACCAAAUAUGAUGUGAAGAGACUAUUUCUGAGCAUACAGGAUGCAUUGGUUUCAAGAAUUCCCAAUGAAAAUUUGCAUUUCAUAGAUUAAGAGAGGAGAGAUUAGCAUCAGCUAUAGCAAGUGACAAACUGAAGCUAUUAGUUGAAGAGAAGCCAGACUUAAUUUUCUAAGAAACAACUUUUAGGAGUAGUAUUUUGCCAGUUCACAUCAUCUGUAAUAAAGGGGAAAAGAGAAGCUUGUCCAAUGAAUUGUACAAGGACUUCACAUUUAAAACUGUCACUGUACAUACCGGCUUGAUAUAUCACCUAUCAUAUUCCUUAGCAUUUACAGUAACUGAACAGCUGUACUGAUAAAUUUCAAUCUAUCCAGAAAAUUUGUUUGGCUGUAGGAGAGUUCGCCACAGGAAAUUUUGCCGCAAAACAAUUUCACCGAAAAAAUGAUGAAUUGCUCCCUUGGUACAUAAUUGUUUCAACCAACCUAACUUUUAUUAGAGAAACCAAUAGGAAGGGGUAAAGUUAUUGCAUAACAUUUAAAAUUUCUUUAUUCAUUUGACAAUAUUUUUUUGUGUAGCCAACCCAUUACAAUAGUCUAUUAAGUGGGAACUAGCAGAGGCAGUUUGAAAUUAGUUGAUGAUCUUAACUUUGUUUAUAGGAUAGAUAGAAAAUACGGUGAAAAAUCAUAUUGGAAAUGUGAAAAUAGAGAAUGUAAAGCAAGAGUGCAUCCCAUGCUGGAGAACAAUAAUUUAUCUAUACGUAAAACAUUCAGCAAGCAUUGCUGUCCUUCUCAGCCUUCAAAGCUGAAAGUUUACAUAGUGAAAAUGAAAUUGAAAUCACUAGCCACUAAUUCACAAACUUCUGCAUGGUCAUUAAUUGCAGAAAUUUCAUCUAGUUUAGAUGAUAAUGCAUGGUCACUGAUGCUGAUGCCAUCGCAUUUGUCUCGCAAUAUCAGAGGUUGGAGGCAAAAGAAAAGCCAAGCUCACCCAAUCCCAACUGGAAGAAGUGGGUGUAUAAUACCUGAAGAAUAUAGAUUUCUUGAAAAUGGUGAGAAGUUUUUAUUAUACUAUAUUGGUGAAGAUAAUCCAGAGAGACUGUUAGUAUUUGGCACACAAGUUGGGUUAGAUGACCUUGAGAAUAAUAAGGAUUGGCCUUGUGAUGGAACUUUUAAAUGCAGCCCAGAUAUCUAUUAUCAGUUGUUCACGUUACAUAUUGUCAUAUGAAAUAUUAACAUACCACGUCUUUUUGUUUUGCUACAACAUACAGAAGGCUUAGCGCUUUGAAGGACUUACACCCAUCAUUAGAGCCUGAAAUCUUAAUGGUUGAUUUCGAGAAAGCAAUUAUCAAUACCUUUUGUGAUAUAUUUCCAACAGGUUGUUUAUUUCAUAUGGCUAAGAAUAUCUAUCACGACAUUGUGAAUAUAAGUAUAAAACCUUGUUAUCAAACAGAUGCAGAAUUUAACAAUGCUUCACUGCAUUAGCAUUUCUUCUAGUGCGUGAUAUUAUUGAUGGUUUUCUUGAACUGAUGAUGAUGAUUUGCUUCAAGAAUUUGUAUCAUACUUUGAAACUCAUUAUAUAGGAAGAGAAUGAGGUUGAGGUGAGCAAAGACGAAGAAUGCAACCAGCUUUUCCUAUCUAAGUGUGUGUGGAAUGUCUUCGAAAGAACCCAGAAUAAUACGAUGAGAACAAACAACAGCGUAGAAGGCUUCCACAUUGCAAUGCAAAGCUCCAUUACUAACAUGCACCCAAAUUUGUGGAAACUUGUUACAUAUUUGAAAAAGGAAGAGACAUUACUGAAAAAGAAAAAGUGUCAUUUAGAUUGAGCAAAUGCAGUCCUAAUAAAGAAAAUAUAUAUUGAUAUCAAUGAAAGAAUUUAGUGGAAAACACUUCAUUAUAAAUAUGAAAAUGCUUCAAUAUAAACGUUUACAAAGAACAAAAAGAAAACAAAAAAACAGUUACAUCUAAAACAGAAUUAUAAAAAUCAUUUAUAUAUAAAGCAAUUUUUUUCAGAGCUGCAAUUUCUCUAAAUCAGGUUGCCUGCCAUAUCUUCGAAAUUACCUAUAUGACAAAGUUUCCUAUGAUGAUAAUUCCUGAGGUGAGUUUUCUUGCGGUAAAAAUGUUUAUAGCGAAUAUUCCAAGAACCAAAUUUCAAGGAUAUUAAAGAAGUCUAGGACUCUGGUUAUUUUUGGGUAGUCACAGAUAAUUGUGUUCUUCAUUGGUAAAAGUGAUUGAUGUUUCUUGUACUUGAAUUUAUUGAUUAAUAAAGUUGAACUGACUAA
Long non-coding RNA from Octopus bimaculoides (California two-spot octopus), 2843 nucleotides. NCBI's taxonomy places the organism in Eukaryota, Metazoa, Mollusca, Cephalopoda, Octopoda, Octopodidae. The record is from RefSeq and is a predicted model, not a curated record.